Transfer RNA from Colletotrichum incanum, 82 nucleotides. It matches the Rfam family "tRNA". From Rfam's summary of the family: Transfer RNA (tRNA) molecules are approximately 80 nucleotides in length. Their secondary structure includes four short double-helical elements and three loops (D, anti-codon, and T loops). The record is from Rfam. Lineage: Eukaryota; Fungi; Ascomycota; Sordariomycetes; Glomerellales; Glomerellaceae.
GGUCUAUUAGUCUAGUUGGUUAGGACGUCGGAUUCUGAUCUUGGAAAUUCCGUAGGCCCAGGUUCGAAUCCUGGAUGGACCU